CGCAAUGGGCGAAAGCCUGACGGAGCAAUACCGCGUGAGGGAGGAAGGCCUAUGGGUUGUAAACCUCUUUUUUCAGGGAGGAAUCAAUGACGUGUACCUGAAGAAUAAGCAUCGGCUAACUCCGUGCCAGCCGCCGCGGUAAGACGGAGGAUGCAAGUGUUAUCCGGAAUCACUGGGCGUAAAGCGUCUGUAGGUGGUCAAAUAAGUCAACUGUUAAAUCUUGAGGCUCAACCUCAAAAUCGCAGUCGAAACUAUUCGACUAGAGUAUAGUAGGGGUAAAGGGAAUUUCCAGUGGAGCGGUGAAAUGCGUAGAGAUUGGAAAGAACACCGAUGGCGAAGGCACUUUACUGGGCUAUUACUAACACUGAGAGACGAAAGCUA
RNAcentral lists this ribosomal RNA (381 nucleotides) under uncultured organism. RNAcentral describes it as "bacterial SSU rRNA". It matches the Rfam family "Bacterial small subunit ribosomal RNA", at positions 367 to 762 of the family's 1533-position model. The record is from RNAcentral.